Molecule: ribosomal RNA, 546 nt
Filed under: Kodamaea ohmeri
Lineage: Eukaryota; Fungi; Ascomycota; Pichiomycetes; Serinales; Debaryomycetaceae
Description: partial large subunit ribosomal RNA
Rfam family: Eukaryotic large subunit ribosomal RNA
Source: RNAcentral
AUUACCCCAAUACUGAGGAAAAGGAACCAACAGGGAUUGCCUCAGUAACGGCGAGUGAAGCGGCAAAAGCUCAAAUUUGAAAUCCCCCCGGGGAGUUGUAAUUUGAAGAUUGCGUCUUGGAGGCGACCGUGUCUAUGUUCCUUGGAACAGGACGUCACAGAGGGUGAGAAUCCCGUGCGGCACGGCCCCCGGCUCCUUAUAAGGCGCUCUCGACGAGUCGAGUUGUUUGGGAAUGCAGCUCAAAGUGGGUGGUAAAUUCCAUCUAAAGCUAAAUACAGGCGAGAGACCGAUAGCGAACAAGUACAGUGAUGGAAAGAUGAAAAGCACUUUGAAAAGAGAGUGAAACAGCACGUGAAAUUGUUGAAAGGGAAGGGCAUGCCGUCAGAUUGUCAGUGUGGGUAAGAAGCGGGGUACAAAGACUGUGGAACGUGGCCCUCGGGUGUUAUAGCCGCAGUUCAUGCCCCGUCUCUUUCCGAGGCCUGCUUUGAGGACACCGACGUAAUGACGGUACGCCGCCCGUCUUGAACCCCCGGACCAAAAAAAGAA